This 252-nucleotide ribosomal RNA is filed under the name uncultured bacterium. RNAcentral describes it as "partial 16S ribosomal RNA". It matches the Rfam family "Bacterial small subunit ribosomal RNA", at positions 524 to 776 of the family's 1533-position model. The record is from RNAcentral.
UACGGAGGAUGCAAGCGUUGUUCGGAAUCACUGGGCUUAAAGAGCAUGUAGGUGGGGUGUCAGGCGUCGGGUGAAAUCCCUCGGCUCAACCGAGGAACUGCCUGGCGAACCGGCAUUCUUGAGGCAGGUAGAGGUGGCUGGAACGACGGUGGAGCGGUGAAAUGCGUAGAUAUCGUCUGGAACGCCAAAGGUGAAAACAGACAGCUGGGAGUGUGCUGACGCUGAGACACGAAAGCCAGGGGAGCGAACGGG